RNAcentral lists this long non-coding RNA (638 nucleotides) under Homo sapiens (human). Its description in RNAcentral is "non-protein coding lnc-C1orf232-3:2". The record is from RNAcentral. Lineage: Eukaryota; Metazoa; Chordata; Mammalia; Primates; Hominidae.
GGUCCCGCAUCAGCACCGCUUCCGUGAAGACGGCGCAGCUGGGAGUCCGGCUACCCAGCCUGCCCGGCAGGAACUGCUUUGCAGGCAAGGCUGCGGCGGCUGCGCAGGAGGUCCCGGGGCUGCCCACUCACUGGUUGGCAUGGGCGUCUUGCCCGCGUGUCACACAGGGUCACUCGGCCGUGCAGGUGCAGAUGCUGGUUUCAUGCUGAGAACUUUACAUGGAUUGUUUCAUUUCAUCCUCACCGAACCCGUGAAGAAGACAAUACUUUUGCCCCCCACCACCCCUUUUUUAAAGAUGAGGAAACUGAGGCUCAAACUGAGGUUCAAAGAGCGUUGCCCAAGGUUCUGCAGGGAGCAGCCUGGCCCCAGCGCCCGCCCACACCCUUAAUCACUGGGUUCUAUAUCCUCCUGACAAGGGAGGAAUGACAGGCGAGGACAGGUUUGGCCGUGGUGUGUUUCAGAGCCUGGACUCUGGAGACUGAUGGUGUGUCCUGGUUGAAGUCCCCUAAACUCAGAGUCUUCUCUUGUUCUGUCAGCUGUACAGUGGGGGAAAUAAUACUUCAUAGGGUUGUUUGGAGGAAUAAAUAAGUGUUUGCAUGCCAGGGAUACCAAGAAGAGUGACAGAAUCUGUGCUCGAG